UAACAUGAAAUCAGACAAGUGA
RNAcentral lists this ribosomal RNA (22 nucleotides) under Symbiodinium sp. C35a. RNAcentral describes it as "partial 28S ribosomal RNA". The record is from RNAcentral. Lineage: Eukaryota; Dinophyceae; Suessiales; Symbiodiniaceae.